This 426-nucleotide ribosomal RNA is filed under the name uncultured bacterium. RNAcentral describes it as "bacterial SSU rRNA". It matches the Rfam family "Bacterial small subunit ribosomal RNA", at positions 356 to 775 of the family's 1533-position model. The record is from RNAcentral.
GGGGAAUCUUGCGCAAUGGGCGAAAGCCUGACGCAGCAACGCCGCGUGAGCGAAGAAGGCCUUCGGGUUGUAAAGCUCCGUCAGGAGGGACGAAGCCACUCGGGUGAAUAGCCCAGAGGGUGACGGUACCUCCAGAGGAAGCCCCGGCUAACUACGUGCCAGCAGCCGCGGUAAUACGUAGGGGGCGAGCGUUGUCCGGAAUCAUUGGGCGUAAAGCGCGUGUAGGCGGCUUGGCAAGUCCGGUGUGAAAGCUCGAGGCUCAACCUCGAGUCUGCACUGGAAACUGCCUUGCUAGAGUCCGGAAGAGGAGACUGGAAUUCCUGGUGUAGCGGUGAAAUGCGCAGAUAUCAGGAAGAACACCGGUGGCGAAGGCGGGUCUCUGGGACGGUACUGACGCUGAGACGCGAAAGCGUGGGGAGCAAACAG